ACGACCUUCUCCCACAGGAUGGCCUAUCAGCUACCUGACUUCUGGUGGUGGUUGUUUAGAGACUGGUGAAUGUUAGUUCUGGCCCAUAAAAACUCCAUUCUUUCUUCCAGACCUGAUUCCUCAGACCUCUGCCCUAUCGGAAGGGAAGCAGAAAAUGAUCAGGUCUCAGGGUCCAGUGUCAUUUGAGGAUGUGGCUGUGGAUUUCACCCAGGAGGAGUGGCAGCAACUGGACUAUGCUCAGAGGACCCUGUACAGGGAUGUGAUGCUGGAGAUCUAUAGCCACCUGGUCUCAAUGGGAUAUCCAGUUUCCAAACCAGAUGUCAUCUCCAAGUUGGAACAAGGAGAAGAGCCAUGGAUCAUAAAGAGACACAUACCAAAUUGGAUCUAUCCAGGAAGUGUCUAAGAUGACCACCAA
This 415-nucleotide long non-coding RNA is filed under the name Homo sapiens (human). RNAcentral describes it as "non-protein coding lnc-ZNF300-1:3". The record is from RNAcentral. Lineage: Eukaryota; Metazoa; Chordata; Mammalia; Primates; Hominidae.